UCGAGCGCAUCCUUCGGGAUGAGCGGCGGACGGGUGAGUAACGCGUGGGAAUGUGCCCUUCUCUACGGAAUAGCCACUGGAAACGGUGAGUAAUACCGUAUACGCCCUUAGGGGGAAAGAUUUAUCGGAGAAGGAUCAGCCCGCGUUAGAUUAGGUAGUUGGUGGGGUAACGGCCUACCAAGCCCACGAUCUAUAGCUGGUUUUAGAGGAUGAUCAGCCACACUGGGACUGAGACACGGCCCAGACUCCUACGGGAGGCAGCAGUAGGGAAUCUUGGACAAUGGGGGAAACCCUGAUCCAGCCAUGCCGCGUGAGUGAAGAAGGCCUUAGGGUCGUAAAGCUCUUUCGCCUGUGAUGAUAAUGACAGUAGCAGGUAAAGAAACCCCGGCUAACUCCGUGCCAGCAGCCGCGGUAAUACGGAGGGGGUUAGCGUUGUUCGGAAUUACUGGGCGUAAAGCGCGCGUAGGCGGAUUGGAAAGUUGGGGGUGAAAUCCCGGGGCUCAACCCCGGAACUGCCUCCAAAACUGCCAGUCUAGAGUUCGAGAGAGGUGAGUGGAACUCCAAGUGUAGAGGUGAAAUUCGUAGAUAUUUGGAAGAACACCAGUGGCGAAGGCGGCUCACUGGCUCGAUACUGACGCUGAGGUGCGAAAGUGUGGGGAGCAAACAGGAUUAGAU
RNAcentral lists this ribosomal RNA (675 nucleotides) under uncultured bacterium. RNAcentral describes it as "bacterial SSU rRNA". It matches the Rfam family "Bacterial small subunit ribosomal RNA", at positions 62 to 783 of the family's 1533-position model. The record is from RNAcentral.